GGGAGAGAUGAGGCACCGGAGACCGGCGGAGUCACUCCGCCCUCCUCGCUCCAGAAGUGCGCCUUCUGCCAAUCCGAGGGCCGCCUGGCGGUGAUGGACGCAAGCGUGUGCCCAAUGAGGAGGAGAAGGUGUCGCUCCGAGCCACAGGGGAAGGAGUGGGCGGGCCAAGGCCCUCCCCUCCCUCCGGCACCCAGGUCCUCCCUCCCGCCCUGUUCAGCCUUAUUCCGUGAUGUCGGCCUGCAUCCUGAGUCCACCUAAGAAAAUGAACCAACCUGCGGACUUCCUAUAGUGCCCAGAAUGUGUAUGCAUUGCCCCUCGGUGUGUUGAAACUUCUUUGCAGUUUGGCAAUGCAAGGACAGCAGCAUCCUCAUUCAGGGACAUAAUGAUACUCAGGAGGGGGGCCAUGUUCCCUUAGCCAGGUCACCCUGUGAUGAUUGAAACACACUAAAUCCCUCCUGUGGGAAGAAUCAGCUCCAUCUCUAGUGUGGGCUAUGCUACUACAUUUAAGAAUGUGCUAAUGAUACUUUCAGAAAGCCUAUUUCUUAUUUCUCUUGCUGUGAGGUCAUUUUAUGACCCAGGUGAAUAUAAUUGAUCGUGGUGUUAUCUUAUGUACUAUGAGUGUCACUAAAAACAUAGAUGAUUUGAGUCUCAACUACACUAGAGGAUCUUUCAGAGGAUCUCCAAAUAGCCAGGGUUAGCCUUCUGUGGCAGAAGUUGCUCCCUUGUCAGUUGAUACUGGCAUGCCUCCAGUCCCCACCAUGUGUCAUCUUCUAAUUCUGUGCUCACCCUAUUCCAGUAUUUCUUAAAUGGUUGUCUUAGACCCACCUAGAUUCCUGAGUUUGCUCUCAGACCUGCUGAAUCAUCAUCUCUGUAGGCUGGUCCUGGGCUUCUGCAUUUUUAGCAAAUAUGCCUGUGACGUGAAUAAAUAUUAAAAAAUCAAGUGUUUCAUUUGAAACCCCCUUUUUAUUCCUUUCUUUUGAAAAUUUAAGAACUGUUACUUAUUUAUUCCUUCCUUUUUUCUUUCUCACACAUAUUUCUUUCCUUUUUUUCCAUGUAUAUUCCUUUCUCUUAUAUAUUUUUUCUGUCAUUUUUGUGAUCACUUACCUUUCUAUAUUUCUUGUGCACAGGAUUGUGUAAUACACUGGCAGAGUAAUCCCUUAAAAAAAAUGGGUGAAGUUGGCAAAUUCCCUUUCAUAAAUACUGUAGGUAUACUUUAUAACUACACCAUUUAAAACAUAUACUAAGUCAAAUAGAUGUAUAAGCUUAAAAAUAACACUGUAAUUGAUGUUAUGUAUAAAUCUCAACAUGUAUGAAACUUACUAGUUUAUGAUUUCAAAGUAUACAAAAAGAAUUUUUUACAUGGGGGAGUCACAUUUCAAAAUGCAAAUUUCAAUGUACAAAUGAUUUGUUAUUAUCAUUUUCUAAACAGUGGAGUGAGACUAAUGAUGUACUGAGACCUGUUAGGGUUACCAAAAAAAAAAAAUAAAAAGUGCUAUAUGAGAUUUUUGUUAUCUCAAAGAGCUUAUAUACAACUCACAUGGACCAGGAAGCAAAAGUACAUCCUUUAUUAAAGAUGGAGGUUUCAACCCGAGUUUCAUUAGCAUUCCUACAGAUAGAGCCCAAAUGAACAUUAGCUCGCAAUCCAAAUUACAAAAUAAAUGAAUUAAAAAGUCGUAAUCAGCAAGAGGAGGCAGAGGCAGAAAAAAAGAAAAAUUAGAAUUAGAUUCUAAAUCUGAAAAAGAACAAGAAUAGGCCCAUUUUGCUUAUGAACAUAUAUGCAAAAAAUUCUAAAUAUUAGCUAACCAAAUCCAACAUUCUUACUCCAGAAGAACUAGAAGAAACCUUGAGACUCAUUUCCUGGAGAAGGAAAUGGCAACCCACUCCAGUAUUCCUGCCUGGAAAAGUCCAUGGACAGAGGAGCCUGGUGGGCUGCAGUCCAUGGGGUUACACGACUGAGCAUGUGUGCACGAGGGUGGACGGAGAUGGGUUGGUAGCAAUAAAGUGGUAGAACUAAAAAAAAAAAAAGAAGACUAAUUUCCCUCUCUUUAGAAUAUACCUGUCUAGCUACCUAUCUAGUCGUUUAUCAUGAAAAUGUAAUAAAUCAAGUAGGGUUUCUUUCAGAAAUUCAAAUAUGAUUUAACAUCAGAAAACCUAUCCAAAUAAUUUACCUCAAGAAGGCUAAGAGAGAGAAAGCAUUGGAAAAUGUGCAUCACUUAUUAAUAAUAGAAACUUUCAGAAAAACUAGGAAUAGGAAGAAAUGUACUUAACUUUAUGAAGGACCAAAAAUGUACUGCAAAAUAUUAUUAAUGGAUUAACUUUAACACGUUCCAUUUAAGUGUGGGAUCAAGACAAGUUUGCCACCGCUGCUCAAAUGAUAUGGAAAGUCCUGGCUGACGAAAUAAGAUUUGUAAUAAAAGGAUGAAGAAAUUAAAUGGAAGAAUCAGAAGGAAAGCGAUAAAAAUUCGGGAUUUUUGCAGCAAUAUGAUCAACCACAUAAAACACCUAAUAGAUUUUUUUUCCUUCCAGAUUGAGUUGGUGUAGUGUAUUCUUGGUUAUCAAAAUACUCAUAGCUUUGGGUCUUUGAAAUGGUAAAUAUUCAUGAUGUGUGAAACAGCAUGAUACAUAACUGUAUGAUCUUAAUUACAUAAAAAUGGAUGCUUAGUUGUGAAAAAUACACAAAUGAGACCUAGAAGGACAUGUCAAACAGUAAACUGCUUGUGAUUAUGAAUGA
Dama dama (fallow deer) is the source of this 2731-nucleotide long non-coding RNA. RefSeq lists it as uncharacterized. NCBI's taxonomy places the organism in Eukaryota, Metazoa, Chordata, Mammalia, Artiodactyla, Cervidae. The transcript has 2 exons. The record is from RefSeq and is a predicted model, not a curated record.